CAGUCGCCGCGGGAAUACAGAGGGUGCAAGCGUUAAUCGGAAUUACUGGGCGUAAAGCGCGCGUAGGUGGUUUGUUAAGUUGGAUGUGAAAUCACCGGGCUCAACCUGGGAACUGCAUCCAAAACUGGCAAGCUAGAGUAUGGUAGAGGGUGGUGGAAUUUCCUGUGUAGCGGUGAAAUGCGUAGAUAUAGGAAGGAACACCAGUGGCGAAGGCGACCACCUGGACUGAUACUGACACUGAGGUGCGAAAGCGUGGGGAGCAAACAGGAUUAGAUACCCGAGUAGUCCCUGUCUCUUAUAC
This 301-nucleotide ribosomal RNA is filed under the name uncultured bacterium. RNAcentral's name for it is "partial 16S ribosomal RNA". It matches the Rfam family "Bacterial small subunit ribosomal RNA", at positions 509 to 807 of the family's 1533-position model. The record is from RNAcentral.